UUGUAGGCACUCAACUUUUAAUACCAGUUACAUUGGCUCAAGCUAAGCUUACAUGACAGUCUGUAAAGUCCACAUAAAAAGCAACACAUUAUAAAGGGCGAGAAUUCCCUAGUACAUUGUUAUUUUAAGUAUGAAGGGUUACAACUGAUUACUGCUUUAGUCUUCCAUGUGUGCUUUAGCCAAUGUGUUUUUUUGGGCACCAAGUCAAGCAGAGGGUUAUUAAUGGACGGAAGGACCAGAGUGGAUGAAGUAGUAAAUGUCAGACUGAUGGAGAGUCGGGGCCUUAAAGCUGAAAGCUGGAGUGAGAGAUAAUUGGGUGGGAAUCUAUUAUACACAUGUUAAUCAUCAUUCAUUUGCAGAGAAACCACUAGAAGAUGUAUGACUGUAAUGUAACAAUCAUUAGGGUUUGUGUGUUGUUCACUAAUGUAGGUGUGCAAGCAGGUGUACAGCUAUCAAUGAUCUCGUCGAGGUUGGCGUCCUAUUGCGUGAAGGUCAAAUGAGCAAGGACCCAGGUUUGAUCAUUAAACAGUAACAUAAGUCAGUGUCACAAGCUGAAAUAAGUGACACGGUUAGCUUAAGAGUUGACUUUCAGUAACAUAUUCCCAAUGCACAAAGUUACCUCUAAUGGAAUGAGCUCUGGAAAAAAGCAUAAUAAGCCUAACUGUCAUGGCAACCAUAAAUCACUCACAUGCAUCCCCUUAAUUCAGUCAUUUGGGACACCAAAGGACUUAAUGAUGGAUUGGCCACAGUUAUCAGUGGAAGUAUUUAUGCACCAGGGUGUUUUUCAGCAAUGAUCUGGUCAUUACUGAAAGAUAAAAGGCAGCAAAAUGUAUUUCACAUAACAAAAUACAUUUAAUUUCUUCAUUUGAUAAACAUUAUCACAUAGCAACUAACGCAGGAGAAAAAUAAAAAAAAACAUAUUUAAUUAAAUUUCUCCCCAAAGAUGGCAAGGACUCCAACUGAGUAAUAAAUUGGGUGAAAUAUUUGCCUGGCAGAACUUUCCACCCAUGUAGGGACUCUAUGACACCAACACACUGACAAGACAAUCUCAAUAAAUAACACCAUCCCUAUUGAAAAGCAAUCCCUUUUCCUCUCACCUAUUUUGGGCAGAGGCAUAAUCUUUCUGCAGUAAUAUGUUAAAAACACUUUGUUCUCAGCUGAAAGAUUUAGCUUCUCAUAAAAAAAUUAUAAAAAAUCAUCUGGUCAGUGUUGUGCAGUGUGUUACUUUUCUUAUGUUAACUAUCCAUGUAUUAUAACAAUGCAUUUUAAUGUCAUGCAGUGUUUAUCUAAAUGUGUAGAUAGAUGAACUUGAUAUUCCAAUAAACAGAAUUUAGAAAUGCAGAAAAACAACACUUUGUAGUGAAUUCAUGGUAAUUACCAGUCUCCAAACGUCCACAAUUCGCUAAGGGUAGGGCACACCCUCUGCUUGCACAACCCUCUAACUUCUCUUGUUUAACUAACAGCAAUUAAGUCUAAAACAUAAAUAGUUGACUAACAAAUGCUUUAUAUUCUGAUUGCAUUUAUUUAAAACAUUAAUCAGGCAAACAUUGAACAGUGCCUCUAACCCAUACCAAAAGGUUAAGCUAGGAAAUCUUGUUAAUUGUGCCACUGAGGCUGCUUUAAACAAGCAGCCCAAUUCCAAUAUUUUUUCCCCACUAAUUGGUCUUUUGACCAAUCACAUCAGCUCUGAAAAACAUCUGACAUAAUUGGUCAAAAGUUAUUGGAAAAAAUAUCAGAAUUGGGCUGCCUGUGUAAUUGCAGCCCAAGAGAGACAGUUUUUUAAGUGAUUUGGAUGAUUUCACAAACAGUAUGCAUUGUAGGAUAAUAGAGGAAUUACUGUUCUACUCACUACUCUCUAUUGUGGGAUAAUAGAGGACUUCCUGUUCUACUCACCACUCAGUAAUACAGUUUCACUGCCCCAGAGAUGCUUCGAUGUUCAUGUAAAACCAUUCUCUUUCACCUCUGAGGGCUGCAGAGGACUGGUAACACAGGGAUGGGGAUACAUAAUCAAAACCCAACAAAACAACCACAAAACACAAAGGGAGGGUAGGGAGGGUAACAAAAGUCUAUGGCGGCUCAAAUGCAGUCCACAUAACUUCCAGCAUAGGAGGCGGCUCCGGUUCUGGGCGUACUCCCCGCUCCACCCGCUGAUCCUUCUGUUUUAUUACCACCUGACCGUGGAUCGUCGAAGGAACCAGACUGUAGAUCAUUGCUGGAGGCACCGAGCCGCCGCUGGAGGCUCCGGGCUGCGGGCCGCCGCUGGAGGCUCCGGACUGCCGCUGGAGGCUCCGGGCUGCGGGCCGCCGCUGGAGGUACCGGGAUGCGGGCCGCCGCUGGAGGCUCCGGGAUGCGGACCGCCGCUGAAGACUCCGGGAUGUGGACCGCCGCUGAAGACUCCGGACUGCGGAGCAUCGCUGGAGGCUCCGUACUGGGGAGCGUCGCCGGAGGCUCCGUACUUGUGAGCAUCGCCGGAGGCUCCGGACUGGGAGGCGUCAUAAUAGGUUCCGGACUAGUGACCGUUGCUGCUGGCUGCAUGCCAUGGAUCAUCUCUACAGAUUCUGCGCCAAGGAUCAUCACUGGAGGCUUCUUACCAUGGAUUAUCUCUACAGGUGCCGGGCCAUAGAUUAUUCCUACAGGCUUCAUGCCAUGGUUUAUCCCUACAGGCUCUGGACCAUUUCUAAUCCCUCCAGGCUUUUUGCCAAGGAUUACUUCUUCAGGUUCCGGGCCAUGGAAUAUACAUACAGGCUCCGGGCCAUGGAUCAUCACUAGAGGCUUAGUGCCAUGGAUCAUCUCUACAGGCGUCGGACUAUCGAUUAUCACUGGAGGCUUUGUACGAGGAGCAGGAACCGGUCUCAUCGGACUGGGGAGAUGCACUGAGGACCGAGUGCUCAAAGCAGGCACCGGCCGUACUGGGUUAUGGAUGCGCACUGGAGGGAGAGUGCAAAGAACAGGCACAGGACGUACUGGAUUUUGGAGGCGUGCUGGAGGGAGAGCGCGAGGAGCAGGCACAGGACGUACUGUGCUAUGGAGGCGCACUGGAGAGAGAGUGUGAGAGGCAGGCACAUGCUCACCACAAAAAGCACAGGGAAUUGGCUCAGGUCCCAGUCCUGGCCCAGCCAAACUACCCGUGUGCCCCCUCCAAAAAAAUGUUUUGGGGCUGCCUCUCGUUCUUCCCAGGUAGGUUCCGAUAUCUCUCGAUUACCUGGCCCCAAGUCCAGUCUCUCCUCUCAAUCC
RNAcentral lists this long non-coding RNA (3234 nucleotides) under Salmo salar (Atlantic salmon). RNAcentral describes it as "lncRNA (ENSSSAG00000094497.1)". The record is from RNAcentral. Lineage: Eukaryota; Metazoa; Chordata; Actinopteri; Salmoniformes; Salmonidae.